GAAGCUGUUUUGGCGGAUGAGAGAAGAUUUUCAGCCUGAUACAGAUUAAAUCAGAACGCAGAAGCGGUCUGAUAAAACAGAAUUUGCCUGGCGGCAGU
RNAcentral lists this ribosomal RNA (98 nucleotides) under Escherichia coli. RNAcentral's name for it is "partial 9S RNA". The record is from RNAcentral. Lineage: Bacteria; Pseudomonadati; Pseudomonadota; Gammaproteobacteria; Enterobacterales; Enterobacteriaceae.